This 253-nucleotide ribosomal RNA is filed under the name uncultured bacterium. RNAcentral's name for it is "partial 16S ribosomal RNA". It matches the Rfam family "Bacterial small subunit ribosomal RNA", at positions 524 to 776 of the family's 1533-position model. The record is from RNAcentral.
CACGUAGGGGGCAAGCGUUGUCCGGAUUUACUGGGCGUAAAGGGUGCGUAGGCGGUCUAUUAAGUAUGGGGUGAAAUCUCUGGGCUCAACCUGGAAAUUGCCUUGUAGACUGUGAGACUAGAGUGAGGUAGAGGUGAGUGGAAUUCCCGGUGUAGCGGUGACAUGCACAGAUAUCGGGAGGAAUACCAAUGGCGAAGGCAGCUCACUGGACCUUUCCUGACGCUAAGGCGCGAAAGCGUGGUUAGCAAACAGG